Molecule: long non-coding RNA, 5589 nt
Filed under: Sus scrofa (pig)
Lineage: Eukaryota; Metazoa; Chordata; Mammalia; Artiodactyla; Suidae
Description: lncRNA (ENSSSCG00000055696.1)
Source: RNAcentral
AAUCCUCAGUGACAGUGUCAGCAUCUGGCAGAGAAAGAGCCUCCCUACCUAUCAGGAAAUUAUGUACCACUAGUUGGGGCUGGGAAAUGGAACAAAACUUAGAGGUUAAGGCACUGUGUUCCCUUUACUUCUAAUCGAAAGGUUAUAUAACGUGAUUCAGUUUAUUGUAUGUCCCACAUAGCAUUGACAGUCUUGAGCUGAUAAUAGAACACUCUAGCUCAGAAGGGACUUAUAGCAUUUCCACAAACAAAUUGUUGAAUACAGUUAAGAGAGUGUUCCCAUUGAACCAUAAGAUUGCCAGGAAAGAAAAUUCUAUUAUGUGUCAGGAAGUAGAGUGAACUGGGAAUAUUUCAUUUCAGAUGGAGUCUUGUGUGAACCCAAUUUUUGCACUGGCAGAAAGUUUUAGAAGCCAAGUUAUCUACCUUUUUUUUUUCUCAUUUUAUGUUGCAAUUUAUUCAGUUCCUCCUCUCUUGCUAAUAUCUUGUACUUACAUGAUCCUUAAACUACAACUUGUUCUUUCAAGAUAAAACUCUUUCAUAAUUUUUCUAGCCCAGAGUAAUACUGCCUAGACAUCUCUGCUGUUAUCCAUGCUCCUGGUAUCCCAAUUUCUUCCUAAUCUAUUUGUUUCCUGGCCCCAUAAUGAAUAGAAUUUCCAAGUUGAAUUUUUACAAUACUGCUAUUUCACAUGAGACCAUACCUCUCCAACAGUAGUCUGAAAAUUUCUAGCAGCAGUGUUGGCUGAGGGGAAAGCUCAUUUCCAGUCAGGAAGCACACACUGGGUCAUGAUCAUUUAGUUCUUACAGAGCAGUCUCAAAACUCUUUGACUAGCAGCUGAGAUGAAGCUCUUGAAUUUUGCCAUUUUCUAUGAUUGUACUCUCUUAUUGCAUCCAGGAAGUAGAACUUCUCACAAAGAAAUUGAUUCCAUGUAUAAGCUGGAGCAGUAGGUCAAAUCUGAAUGCCUGCCAGAGAAAUGAUUGAAAGUGUCUUACCUUUCCUCUCUUGAGCAAGGAAUCCUAAGUUUUGUGGAGGAUCAAGAGCAGUUCUCUAUAUCUGCACACAAAUCAUCAAACAUUGAAUUAGGUUACUGUCGGAAAUUGGAUACAGUCUUUCUUAAUUGCAUAACACACUUCAGUCACUCAAAUUAUUUAUCAAACUCACUCUUAGCCUCGGUACUCAAAAUUAAUAUAAUCUGAGAGAUGAAUGUAAAGAGGAUUUCAACUCAGACAUGGAAAAUUAGAUAAUAGUUCUAUUUUUUUUUCUUUUUUCCUUUUUCUAAUUGUUAUUUACCCAAUACAAUUUUUUUUUUUUUACUGUACUGCAUGGUGACCCAGUUACACAUACAUGUAUACAUUUUUUUCUCACAUUAUCAUGCUCCAUCAUAAGUGACUAGACAUAGUUCCCAGUGCUACGCAGCAGGCUCUCAUUGCUAAUCCAUUCCAAAGGCAAUAGUUUGCAUCUAUUAACCCCAAGCUCCUUUUUAUGGCUGCACCAUGGCAUAUGGAACUUCAUAGACAGGGGUCAAAUCAGAGCUUCAGUCAUGGCCUAUGCCACAGCCAUGGCAACAAGGGGUCCAAGCCACAACUUGAAGCAGCAACACAGGAUCCUUAACCACUGAGGGAGGCUGGGGUCAAAUUUGCAUCCUCACAGAGAAAAUGUUGCGUCCUUAGCCUGUGGAGGCACAAUGGGAACACCCAUUUUUUAUUUUCUAACAGCACCGUUUGGUAGAAAUAUAAAGUAAGAUAUGAAUACGAUUUUACAUUUUUUAACAACCACCUCGAUAGACUGUAAAAAGAAAGAUGAACUAAUUUUAAUGAUGUAUUUUAUUUAACAAUAUAUUUAUUUUUGCACAUUUCAACAUGCAAUCAAUACAAAAACUUUCAAUGCGAUGUUUUUGCAUCACUUUUUGUUCCAGGUCGUUGAAAUCUGGAGUGUAUUUUAGACUUCUAACACAUUUCAAUUUAGAUUAGAUACAAUUUAGAUUAGGCUCAGUAGCCACAAGGGGUUAGAGGUAGUUAGUAGUUUGUAGAUUUCCCUGUCAUUGGAGAAGUUUGUUUCUCACCAGGAGGGAUUAAAACUUAUCUGUAUCUUCUUGGGCAAAAGGACAACCCACCUAACAUAUUUUGUCACAGUGCCAACACACAGCAAGUGUUCAAUAAAUGUUUACUGAAUGGCUUUAAGCUUCAAUGUACAAAUACUUACAUGUUUAUUUAGCUGCUACUAUUUGCCAGGUAGUUUUCUAAUCACUGGGAAGUUAGCAGGGACAAAAAUACACAAAAUGCCUUCAUGGUGCUUAAAUUUUAGUGGUUGAUUUUUUUUUUUUAAGUUGAUGCCAAAUAAAAUUAAAAAAUACAGAAACAUAAUAUAUGGUGAGUCAAUAGCUUAUGUUUUCUAUGGGUUUCAUAAUCUCGUCUCUGUUAGUGAUCCUCAUUUCACUUAUUACCCAUCAGCUAUUAUUUUGGCUGCCCAGGAUCUUUUACUGCAACCCCACACACACAAGCUUGCCUUCUUCAGAAAACCUAAAACUUCUUACUAUUUUUCAAGUAGAAGAGUGUUUUGGUGUUUCUAGGCCUCUGAUCUUCCUAAACAUCUGUUAAGCCCCUACUCAUAAGUCAAUGCCAGGCUCAACUGAUCCCUUGGCCAUGGAGAUUGUCCUGACCCCUCUUGUUUGUUAUUUAUUCUUUAUUUCUUGCUCAGUAAGACUUUAUGUGGGUCUUGGUUUUGUCAUUUAUUUUGGACUAUCAUUUUAUGCUAAAUCUUCACUAUGAGAUCAUCACUUGCUUUAGCUUUUGUUACUAGUAAAGGGACUGGUACAUGACAUUACUCAGAGUACAUGUAUAAGACGGAUAGUUUGCCUGUCCCAUAUUUUAGUCCCUUAUAAUCCCUCCCCAUCCACAGAUAACUGCAUUCGUGGGUUAUGUGCCACAACUGACUUACCUAUAUUUUUGCCUCUUAUCUGUGUUCCCAUAGGUAGGUGAAAAGUGUUGCUAGGAUGGAGCGUGUUUCACUUCAAACUAUGGGGAAACACCAGGAGAACUGAGUGUAUUGGACUAUACUCACAGUGCUCUCCUCUUCCCAUAUGAAAACCUAUCUUGACCUUGUAUCUGAGUCAUUGCCCAUUAGUCUAUUUUUCCUCCCUCUACUGUUUUCUGGGUAGCAGUGGCUCUUAGACUUUGUGGUUUCCCAAUGCUAAUUCAGGAAGGACAUUUAUGAACUAUUGACUACAAUUUGAAUAAAAAUAACUAGCCAUGUCCCACCCAGCUUUGAAGGCAGCAUUACUCAAUACCUUGAUGAGGCAUUAAACACAAGAAUGCUUUUAGAAAGCUUCAUUGUAAUCCAGACUUGUAUUUAUACAUCUGAGAACCUGUCUGAAUGCAGUUAGACCACAAAAUCCUAAGAGAAGUUGUGGCCUGUGACAUUGUUUAUCAUUGUUGAUAAUCUGUUGCUUUUUCUGGGCUCACUUUUUAGCUCCUAGCUGGGACUCAGGGGGUUUGUGUCUGUAAUUCUAAGAUUUUACCACUAGAUGGUAACACAGAUUUUCCUACCAAAAUGUAAGCCCCUCUGCUCACCAAUGUGAUACAGGUAUAGUUGGGAUAAAUCACAGCUCCGCGAUUCUUUAGAAAAUUACUUCCAAAUUACUGAAUUACAAGUUUAAUAUGUAUUUAAUUGAUCUAGAGACAAAGAUUACAAAUUAAGGAGAAUAUAAUCUGAUCCAACAAAGGACUAACAGUUUAUUUUUCCUUUAUUAUACCUCAGUUUGUCUUUGUUUUUUGCUUUCAUUUAAAUAAAGAAGUUUCUCAUUAAAAUCACAGUAUUUUCAGAAAUCAUACUGAGGAUUUUCUGUGGGUAGCUAGUUCUCAACACUAAGAUUUGAAUUUUCUGAGUACAGAUGGAAGGUAUAGACAUUGGUAAAAUUUAUUAUGUGGAGGAACAAUGAAAAAAUAAAUCACUAUCAUGUAUUCCCUUUAUAGCCAAGUGAACUUAAGAAGAUGUAAUUUUGUUUCUGUAAAUUGAGGAUAAUAGUAAAUUUCCUUUAGAAAUGUUGAUAUUGAAAUUAGAUCGUGCACAUAAAGUUCUUUAUAUGUAGUUGGUGAUAGAUAAAUAUUAGUUCUCUGCUUACCUCACUUUUCUUCUUUCUUCUCUAUGGAUCUGAAAAUAUUAGUUCAUAUAUUUCUUUCCAUUCAACAAUGAAAGCAUAAGACACAUCUCUCAAGUUGUCUUUCAACAUAUCCUUGCCUACAUCCAAGAAGAAUAUAGAAAAUAGCUAAGCAUCUGUAAAUGUGAAACAUACUACUUAGGGCUUGCUAAUUAUUCCAUGUCUUCUCACAUAUCAAAAUAUAUUUUUAUCUUAACAGGUUCCUUCUGGAGAAAAUAUAAGCCUAAAAUAUUAAUCCAAUGGUGGGAAUUCCAGACAAUUGCUUCUUCAACAAGGUUAUAAAUUUAUAGUGUGGGUCAUAUCAUGUCUUUUGAUAUUUUCUUAACACUAACCACUCAAUAGAGCACCCAAAAUGCUCUCCUAAAGUGCAUAAUAAAUGAGAACAAUAUUACUGAGUUCAGUAAAAAGGAAAAUGGGCAUCCCUGUUGUACCUCUGUGGGUUAAGAACCCAAGAUAGUAUCCAUGAAGAUAUAGGUUCGAUUCCUGACCUUGCUCAGUGGUUUAAGAAUCCAGCCUUGUUGUAAGCCGUGGUAUAGGUCACAGAUGUGGCUUGGAUCUUGUAUUGCCCUGGCUGUGGUGUAAGCUUCAGUUGCAGUUCCAAUUAGAUCUCUAGACUAGAAACUUCCAUAUGCUGUAGGUGCAGCCAUAAAAAAGAAAAAAAAUAAGGAAAAUGUUUAGAAAUAAAAAUUGUUCCAGAGAGAUAAAUGGAUUCAAGAAACUGUAGAGGAGGCAAAAGUUUUCCUUCAACAUCUUAUGGUCCCUGGCUAGGUUUGAAAAUUAAAAUGACAAAAUCACAUUAAAAGGACAAAAGCAUGCAAAUUUAUUUAAUACAAUACGUUUUACCUAACACAAGAGACUUCAUAAGGAAAUGAAGACAUCUAAAAAAAACAGUUACACCUUGGUCUAUUUAUACCAGGUUUGAAAAGAGUAUAUGGUUGUGCAGAAAUAUAAUAGAUUGAGAAGUUUAAGUGUAGUCAAAAAGGGGAGACUUGGUAAGACCUGUUUGUUCCCAUUCUUCUCAGCAUCCCUUUGUGUCAGAGUAAGGCUGCUCCUUUCCUCUGGUUAUAAGGAGACCACGAGGGUUGUACAACCCAUCACAGGAAAGAAGAGGAGAAAAUAGCUUCUGCUGCUUUCUUAGAUUCCUCUAGCUUAAAAUAUUCAAUAGGCAAGAUGUCAUAUUGUGGGGUAAUAAUACUUGACGAUAUAGAUUUUGCAUUACCAGAGGGGUUAGACUCAUAUUGCAUUUAAAUCUAUUUUAAAUAAAAUUCCUUAUUUUGAUCUGUAGGAGUUUCACCAAACUAGAUUUUUAAAAUAAAAUUAAUGAUAUGUAAUGUACUAGGUUUCUUUAUGUUGACCUGCAUUAUUUCUACACAUGUGUAUUCUGGACUCUACGUUUACUAGUCCCCAUCUUUUUUUUUUUUUUUUUAAUGUCACAU